AACCCUUACAAAAUUGACGCCAAAUGU
RNAcentral lists this non-coding RNA (27 nucleotides) under Bombyx mori (domestic silkworm). The record is from RNAcentral. Lineage: Eukaryota; Metazoa; Arthropoda; Insecta; Lepidoptera; Bombycidae.